GGGACAUGGGUCCAGGGACUCAAAAAUGGAACCGGAGAGGAGAAGAGAACAAAGAAAGUGUUGGAAGAGGAGCCUGGGACGAAAGACAUUUCUACAGGAGACACUGCUAAGCAAGUUACCCAUCAGUCAUCUCGGGCAAUAAGUUGAGGGUUCCUCAUUUUAACAGCUGGUCCUCGCACAAGUGACCUUUCUCUCUACCCAGUGCCUGGAUGAGAGGCAGAGUCACAAGUGUUGAAGUGUGAGUGCCUUCUAUUUACUUCCAGUCCGUGUGUUCUUGCUGUGGGCAUGUGGUUAUGACUAGUGACAUAAUAGGCGUUAAAAUGCAGUCACCAAACUCAACUGCUGCUUAGCAUCCUCUGUAACUACUGGCACAAGCAGGAAACGUGGAGGUCACAUGGUUCGUUUGACGGGCUCUUGCUGUCCGACUUGAGUAAUCUUCAUUCUCAGGCCUCAAGGUUCUGCAGUAGUAGUUGUUCUCUUUAAAUAUCUGCUUUACAAGUGUUGGGUACUAUACUCAAACAUCUUAUUUCAUCACCAUGGCAACCCUCAUACUAACCUCUGUCAUACUCCCUUCAUAGCCAAGACGCUGAGUGUCUGAGUAACUUGACCACAAAAUGACAGCUAUCAGAUUUCUAUUUUUCAGACACUGUCCUUUCAGGAUAGAAUUUGUAGCUAAGAAUUUAAUAAUAAAAAAAAAACCCCGCUUAUUAGGCACUUCCACACCACACCAUGCCUUGUGCACUGCUCUGGCCUCUGACAGAGAAGGAAGCCAGAGUGCCGGUCGGAUUUGCUUAUGUGUGUUCAAUACUCAAAUCAAUGCUCAUUAACAUGGAGUCUGCAUUUUAAAGACACUCUCCAGUUCUUUGUCUAGCAUUAUAUUUACCUCUAAUCUGUUAUCCCUGCCAAACAAUCUCAUGUUCUCCAUGAAGUGUCUAGUCUUGUUGAGUAGUUCUUUUUUUUUUUUUUCUAUUUAAAUGAUAUUGACAUCUGAGGAGACAGCUCAGUUGGUAGAAUUCUUUCCUUACAAGUGGGAAACCCUGUUUUAUCCCCAGAACCCACAUAAAAAACAGUUGCGUAUAUCUGUGCAUGCUUAAUCCAAGCACUAGGGAGGCAGAGACAGGCAGAUCUCUAGCUCUCACCGAUCAGCCAGCUCCAGGUCUACAAGAGCUGACAGUGCCUGAGAAACAUGUCUACACACACACACAUACACACUCUCACAUACAUGGACCAUGUACUCAUACACCUAAGUGGACUCUCUUAGUGAACACACAUACAAUGGUCCCCAAGACAAAACAAAACAAAAAAAAAAUAAACCAAACUAGCUCUAUUCCAUCAGCCUAGCCAUGCUACUCCCUUCCCAGAAGCAACUGCUAUUGUUUUUGCACAUAUAUUUUCUUAAAGACAGUUAAUAUGUAUAAAUCUUUGUUAAAGUAUGUCUGUCUGUCUGCCUGCCUGCCUACCUAUCUACCUAUCUAUCUAUCCAUCCAUCCAUCCAUCCAUCCACCCAUCUGUCCAUCCGUCUGUCUGUCCAUCUGUCUGUCUAUCUACCUAUCUACCUACCUACAUACCUAUCAUCUGUCUGUCUGUCUUUCCUAAAUGGUAUAGGAAAACUGUACGUUUUCUAUGCACUUUGCCCUUUUCAUUUAGUGUAUUGAUACUUAUGCUGCUUCCAGACUGAUCUAAAGAUCCAUAAAGAGAACUGCCUCAUUUCUAGGUUUUCUUUCCCAUCCCUCUAGGCACCUCUCACACUGUCUAGGCCAGACACUUGCUGCCUGUAUCUGUAGACAUCAUUUAUAAAGUGUGUACUCACCGAGUUUGUGUCUACUCAAAGGGAGGCCAUGGGUCCCCAGGGUCACUGAGUCAACCCAGUACCAAGGUGGAGCCUUGUAUCUCCAUGGCAGAAGCAAAUCUGGGGCCAUUUCUGUUUCUUCCUUGACUUCUUUUCUAAAACACAGAUGCUCUAAUUACUUAUUACAGGUUGUCCCUGGUAAUGUCAGCAUUGCUCCUAGACUUCUGGGUGCCCUGGAAAAGCCCGUUAGCUCUGUGUGAACCCUUAAGGCAGCUGUCUCUCCUUACCUCAUAGACACUGUUUCCUGGAGGGUUUGAGAUACUGUUUCCAAAAGGUGUUCACUUGGGCGAGGAGGGGAGGGGGAGCCCAGAACUUUGUUACUAUUUUCUUUGUUUUGUCACAUGUCAAGGCUGAAGAAAGAGCCUGGGUAUGUUGGCGCAUGUCUCCAGUUGCAGGCAGAGGCAGGUGGAUCUCUGUGAGUUUGUGGCCAGCCUGGUCUCCAUAGUGAAUUCUAAGCCAGCCAGGGCUCGGUUACAUAGUGAGAUCCCGUCUCAAAGGAAAGACUGGCCUAUCAGAACCCCCAGUGAAACCCCUUCUGUUACUUGUUCACACAUGUUUGUUGAUGAUUCUCGUGUUAAUGUCUUGUUUGUAUGACGUUCAAGAAAAGAUCUGGUUGGGCAACACAUUGUAUUUAUUCAUCUUAUUCAAAAUCUUAAUGCCAUCUCAUGGCAUUGGAUUGGUAUGGCACUUUAUUCUUUUGUGUUCUGUAUAACCACAAAUGGAAAUUUUAUUUUGUGUCUGAUUGUCAUUGUAUUGCAUUAAUUUAAUAAGAUAUUAUUUAUUAAAAACAUUUGAUUUUUUUCUUUUUU
RNAcentral lists this long non-coding RNA (2658 nucleotides) under Rattus norvegicus (Norway rat). RNAcentral describes it as "long non-coding RNA NONRATT001659". Lineage: Eukaryota; Metazoa; Chordata; Mammalia; Rodentia; Muridae. The record is from RNAcentral.